GCGUUGUUCGGAAUUACUGGGCGUAAAGCGCACGUAGGCUGAUAUUUAAGUCAGGGGUGAAAUCCCGGGGCUCAACCCCGGAACUGCCUUUGAUACUGGGUAUCUUGAGUAUGGAAGAGGUCAGUGGAAUUGCGAGUGUAGAGGUGAAAUUCGUAGAUAUUCGCAGGAACACCAGUGGCGAAGGCGGCUGACUGGUCCAUUACUGACGCUGAGGUGCGAAAGCGUG
Molecule: ribosomal RNA, 226 nt
Filed under: uncultured bacterium
Lineage: Bacteria
Description: partial 16S ribosomal RNA
Rfam family: Bacterial small subunit ribosomal RNA
Source: RNAcentral